Molecule: ribosomal RNA, 490 nt
Filed under: uncultured bacterium
Lineage: Bacteria
Description: partial 16S ribosomal RNA
Rfam family: Bacterial small subunit ribosomal RNA
Source: RNAcentral
AUUGAACGCUGGCGGCAGGCCUAACACAUGCCAGUCGAACGGUAACAGGAAGCAGCUUGCUGCUUCGCUGACGAGUGGCGGACGGGUGAGUAAUGUCUGGGAAGCUGCCUGAUGGAGGGGGAUAACUACUGGAAACGGUAGCUAAUACCGCAUAAUGUCGCAAGACCAACGAGGGGGACCUUCGGGCCUCUUGCCAUCGGAUGUGCCCAGAUGGGAUUAGCUUGUUGGUGGGGUAACGGCUCACCAAGGCGACGAUCCCUAGCUGGUCUGAGAGGAUGACCAGCCACACUGGAACUGAGACACGGUCCAGACUCCUACGGGAGGCAGCAGUGGGGAAUAUUGCACAAUGGGCGCAAGCCUGAUGCAGCCAUGCCGCGUGUAUGAAGAAGGCCUUCGGGUUGUAAAGUACUUUCAGCGGGGAGGAAGGGAGUAAAGUUAAUACCUUUGCUCAUUGACGUUACCCGCAGAAGAAGCACCGGCUAACUCCGUG